UGGGCGUAAGCGCGCGCAGGCGGUUUCUUAAGUCUGAUGUGAAAGCCCACGGCUCAACCGUGGAGGGUCAUUGGAAACUGGGGAACUUGAGUGCAGAAGAGAAAAGCGGAAUUCCACGUGUAGCGGUGAAAUGCGUAGAGAUGUGGAGGAACACCAGUGGCGAAGGCGGCUUUUUGGUCUGUAACUGACGCUGAGGCGCGAAAGCGUGGGGAGCAAACAGGAUUAGAUACCCUGGUAGUCCACGCCGUAAACGAUGAGUGCUAAGUGUUAGAGGGUUUCCGCCCUUUAGUGCUGCAGCUAACGCAUUAAGCACUCCGGCCGGGGGAGUACGGUCGCAAGACUG
This 343-nucleotide ribosomal RNA is filed under the name Priestia flexa. RNAcentral describes it as "bacterial SSU rRNA". It matches the Rfam family "Bacterial small subunit ribosomal RNA", at positions 555 to 896 of the family's 1533-position model. The record is from RNAcentral. Lineage: Bacteria; Bacillati; Bacillota; Bacilli; Caryophanales; Bacillaceae.